RNAcentral lists this long non-coding RNA (289 nucleotides) under Ictidomys tridecemlineatus (thirteen-lined ground squirrel). Its description in RNAcentral is "lncRNA (ENSSTOG00000032543.1)". Lineage: Eukaryota; Metazoa; Chordata; Mammalia; Rodentia; Sciuridae. The record is from RNAcentral.
CAUACAUUAGCAUAUUUGGAUGUUUCUAACAUUAACGCAGUAUACUCUACUAUCCAUUUUAUCUUAUAAAUGACAGGAUCCAAGUUAAGAGAUAAAUGAACUUAUCCAGGAUCACACAACAAGUAUGCGGCCAAGGAAGAAUGAGAACAAGUUCCUCUGGGGAUAAAGAAUGUGCUUCUAAUAAAACCGAGGUAGGCUUGAGAGCAACAGCCUCUCCCGUGCCUGUGAAGCAGAUACCAUGCCUCCAACUGGGAGGAGUCGGCUGAAGAAAUAUGAUGCAGAAUAUCUG